AAGGGCGUAGCUCAGUUGGUUAGAGCGUCGGUCUCCAAAACCGAAGGCCGCGGGUUCGAAUCCCUCCGCCCCUGCCA
Molecule: transfer RNA, 77 nt
Filed under: Candidatus Saccharimonadota bacterium
Lineage: Bacteria; Candidatus Saccharimonadota
Description: tRNA-Trp
Rfam family: tRNA
About the family: Transfer RNA (tRNA) molecules are approximately 80 nucleotides in length. Their secondary structure includes four short double-helical elements and three loops (D, anti-codon, and T loops).
Source: RNAcentral